GCAAUAAUGUAUCAUAAAUAGAAUAAAAUCAAUUCCAAGACAUCAGUCAGAGAAUAUUGGGAUAAUUAUCAUGCACGGUCACUUAACUUUAUGAGUAUUUUUAUAAAAAUCACUGAAUUUUAAUAUCUUUCAUAGAAUUCAUUGAACUUCAAUUUAAUUUUAUAAAAGUCACUAUAAUAGAAAAUAAAAAGUUUUCAUAUUAACCUGUUGACCUAUCAACUAUUUUCCAAAUAAAAUUACCUAACUAGUGGUUAAUGAUGGAGAAAAAACGGAGAAAGGGGAGGGGUUUGAUGAUAAGGGGGAAGUUGGAUGCGUUUUAU
This 320-nucleotide unclassified non-coding RNA is filed under the name Hevea brasiliensis (rubber tree). Lineage: Eukaryota; Viridiplantae; Streptophyta; Magnoliopsida; Malpighiales; Euphorbiaceae. The record is from RNAcentral.